RNAcentral lists this ribosomal RNA (254 nucleotides) under uncultured bacterium. RNAcentral describes it as "partial 16S ribosomal RNA". It matches the Rfam family "Bacterial small subunit ribosomal RNA", at positions 524 to 776 of the family's 1533-position model. The record is from RNAcentral.
GACGAACCGUGCGACCGUUAUUCGGAAUCACUGGGCUUAAAGCGCGUGUAGGCGGGACGGCACGUCUGUCGCUGAAAUCCCCCGGCUCAACCGGGGAACGGGCGCGGAUACGACCGUCCUGGAGGGGCGUAGGGGGACCUGGAACUUCCGGUGGAGCGGUGAAAUGCGUUGAGAUCGGAAGGAACGCCCGUGGCGAAAGCGAGGUCCUGGACGCUUACUGACGCUGAGACGCGAAAGCCAGGGGAGCGAACGGG